RNAcentral lists this ribosomal RNA (2224 nucleotides) under gut metagenome. RNAcentral describes it as "bacterial LSU rRNA". It matches the Rfam family "Bacterial large subunit ribosomal RNA", at positions 697 to 2925 of the family's 2925-position model. The record is from RNAcentral.
CAGUUGUUCUGUUUAUACCCGAAACCGGGUGAUCUAUCCAUGAGCAGGUUGAAGCAUGGGUAAAGCCUUGAGGAGAACCGAACCAGUACUGGCUGAAAACAGGUUGGAAGACUUGUUGAUAGGGGUGAAAGGGCAAUCAAUUCAUGUGAUAGCUGGUUCUCCCCGAAAUAUAUUGAGGUAUAGCCUCGCGGAUUGUCUUAUGGAGGUAAAGCACUGACAGAGCUAGGGGUCCUACCCGACUACCAACCUCUAUCAAACUCUGAAUACCAUCAAGAUGUACCGCGGGAGUCAGACGGCGGGUGCUAAGGUUCGUCGUCAAAAGGGCAACAGCCCAGACCGCCGGCUAAGGCCUCCAAAUGCAUGCUCAGUGGUUAAGGUGGUGGCGUUGUAGAGACACCCAGGACGUUGGCUUAGAAGCAGCCAUCGUUUAAAGAAAGCGUAAUAGCUCACUGGUCUAAUGACGCUGCGCCGAAAAUGUAACGGGGCUAAGCAUGCUGCCGAAGCCGCGGACUAGUCUUUGACUAUUGGUAGGGGAGCGUUCCCUGCGGGUUGAAGGUGCAUCGAAAGGUGUGCUGGACUUCAGGGAAGUGAUUAUGCUGACAUGAGUAACGAUAAAAUGUGCGAGAAACACAUUCGCCGUAAAUCCAAGGUUUCCUGGGUAAAGGUAAUCUUCCCAGGGUUAGUCGGUCCCUAAGGCCAGGCUGAAAGGCGUAGCUGAUGGGAAACGGGUUAACAGUCCCGUACUUGUAUGACCGCGCGAUGGAGGGACGAAGGACGGUAGGCAAUCCGGUCACUGGAUUCCGGUGCAAGCGCGUAGGCGUGCCCUGCAGGCAAAUCCGCAGGGCUGAGCUGAAACGCGAGUCCGAGGGGGCAACCCCGAAGUUGCCGAGCCGCUGCUUCCUAGAAAAGCUUCUAAGUAUAGGCCAUGCAAACCGUACCGCAAACCAACUCAGGUGGAUGGGAUGAAUAAUCCAAGGCGCUCGAGAGAACUCUGGCCAAGGAACUCGGCAAAAUAACCCCGUACCUUCGGAAUAAGGGGUGCUCCUGCUGGUGGCGUAACAGUUGCUGGCGGGAGCCGCAGAGAAAUGGUGGUGGCGACUGUUUACUAAAAACAUAGGUCUGUGCGAAGUCGCAAAGACGACGUAUACGGACUGACGCCUGCCCGGUGCCGGAAGGUUAAGAGGAGGAGUCAGCGCAAGCGAAGCCCCGAUUCGAAGCCCCGGUAAACGGCGGCCGUAACUAUAACGGUCCUAAGGUAGCGAAAUUCCUUGUCGGGCAAGUUCCGACCUGCACGAAUGGCGUAACGAUCUCCACGCUGUCUCGGCCAGAGACUCGGUGAAAUUGAAGUCGCGGUGAAAAUGCCGUGUACCCGCAGAAAGACGGAAAGACCCUGUGCACCUUUACUAUAGCUUGACAUUGGGUUUUGGACCUGCAUGUGUAGGAUAGGUGGGAGACUGUGAACUCUGCACGCCAGUGUGGAGGGAGUCGUCGGUGAAAUACCACCCUUGUUUGUUCAGGACCCUAACCCGCAGCCGUGAACCGGCGCGGGAACAGUGUCUGGUGGGUAGUUUGACUGGGGCGGUCGCCUCCUAAAGAGUAACGGAGGCAUGCAAAGGUUCCCUCAGCCUGAUUGGAAACCAGGCGCCGAGUGCAAACGCAUAAGGGAGCUUGACUGCAAGAGAGACAUCUCGAGCAGGUACGAAAGUAGGCGCUAGUGAUCCGGUGAUCCCGAAUGGAAGGGUCAUCGCUCAUUGGAUAAAAGGUACGCCGGGGAUAACAGGCUGAUCGCAUCCAAGAGUUCACAUCGACGAUGCGGUUUGGCACCUCGAUGUCGGCUCAUCACAUCCUGGGGCUGAAGCAGGUCCCAAGGGUACGGCUGUUCGCCGUUUAAAGUGGUACGCGAGCUGGGUUUAAAACGUCGUGAGACAGUUUGGUCCCUAUCUUCUGUGGGCGCUGGAGAAUUGAGAGGGGUUGUCCCUAGUACGAGAGGACCGGGAUGAACGCACCACUAGUGGAUCUGUUGUCGCGCCAGCGGCACAGCAGAGUAGCCAUGUGCGGAAUGGAUAACCGCUGAAAGCAUCUAAGCGGGAAGCCAGCCUCGAGAUGAGUUCUCCCUGCCGCAAGGCACUGAAGGGCCGUCGUAGACGACGACGUCGAUAGGCUGGAGGUGGAAGCGCAGCGAUGCGUGGAGCUGACCAGUACUAAUAGCCCGUGCGUCUUAUAU